Molecule: unclassified non-coding RNA, 2377 nt
Filed under: Leishmania donovani
Lineage: Eukaryota; Euglenozoa; Kinetoplastea; Trypanosomatida; Trypanosomatidae
Description: gene:LdHU3.09.1490(CDS-product:hypothetical_prote in_conserved)
Source: RNAcentral
GGGCGCACACGCGCUUACAUGAAAAGGGUUAAGAGUGUGAUUGGUUAGCCACUGCCACAGCUGCGCCAUGAGCAGCCGUGAGGCGUCGAGGGCCGCGGCAGAGCCGGCACCCACGCCGUCCUCGGAGCCGCCGCGGCAACGACCGGCCGAUGCGGUCGCUGUGCCCGCAUCAGUGCAGCGCUUCUAUACCCACUUUAUGACACUUCUCACCCAACAGGGCCGCUGUGGCCCAGCAACGAUAGCAGCGGCAGUAUCGGCCCCUUCGGCCCCACUGCAGCACCGCAGCACCUCCACUACCGACGGUCAAGACGGCACCGAGGACAACGCACUGCGCCGUCUCACUUGUGCCCAGGAAGACGCGCUCGGUCCGCUGCUCUGGCAGUGGUUGGUCCUUUUCUCUCUAGCUGUGCAGCAGGCGGGAGAAGCACCGCAGGAGCGCGGUCCUGCUCCGUCCGCGAUGGCGGUUGCGUCCGCCAUGUGCUCGGCGACGCCAUCACACGCGCUCGGGCCACACGAUGUGGAGCGACUCUUUCGCUCUGGGUUCUCCUCUCUUCUGCCGGUGGCUGGUAGUGGCGGUGGUGCCGGUGGUGCCGGUGGUUUGCGCGGCAGCCGGCUGCCCCCCGCGGAUCCGCCCGCGCCCUGGCACAGCGUGCCGCUUGCAAAACAAAGUGGUCCCGAGAGGGCUCUCGUGGCUGCGCUCAGCGCCAUCAGCUGCAAUGGUCCGCUCUUCAGUGCGUGGUGUGCGCUGUGCUACACGUGUGUGGGCGCCUCGCUGCUGGUGAGCACAUCUCAGCGCCGUCAUGAAGGGGGAGAUGCGGCCGCGGGCCUCUCCACGAGCGGCUUCUCCGCAUCAGAGGAGGCCAUCCGCAGCGCUCUGCGGCGCCUUCGCCACGCCUGGAACUCAGCCGUGGAACUCGCGGACGCGCCACGAAGAAGCGUCGACGCGUGUGCCACGCUGCGGUUAUGGGCGACGGUUUACACAACGUGCACGGCGCUUGGCUCGGCCGCCGAGGCAGCGCCGAUCACGCAUGAGAAGGCCGGUGAAAGCCGUGCGCUACAAGCCCCACCGCUCUCCCUAUCUCUCUGGGCGGUGCAGUGGUACCGCGAGUGCACUCGCGUCGCCGCGCACGGCGCAGAUGAAGGCUUUCACUCGGAAGAGGCAGGAGUGCCCGUGGAACUUGUGACUCGCGUGAUGCGCUACAUGUGCCACCGCCUCGAAGCUGAGGUAGUGAGGCGUGCCCGGCGGCAUGAACGCACGGGGUCUGCAGCGUCUCUGACGGCUACGGCUGAGCUUGAGGAGGCGCGUGCGAAGACGACGGCGCCUGUGCUCACUGCGCCUCCCUCUGAGGCCAGCGCCCCUGCUCCCAUCGUGCCGACGCUCCGUGUUGGGGCCUUGACUGCUCUCGCCCUGCAGUCGGUCAUGCACCUCGUCGGCGACGAUGCGGAUCGCCGCGGCGGGGCGGCAAAGCGCUCUGGCGGCCGCAAAGGCGGGGCGCCGCUGAGGCGCCGACGCCGUGCAUGGCAGAUGAGCUCCGACGACGACGACGACGGCAGCGAUGUCGACAGCAGUGUGGAAGACCCGGACUAUGGCGGUGGGACGGAGGGAAGCUGGAGCGGGCGCACCGACGCGCAGAGCGGCGCUUCGCGCUUCAUCUUCAGUCAGCAGGAGCGGUAUGAAGUGGCCAUCGCCUCUGGGGUGCUUACCACCUACUCCGUGUGCCCUGCCGACGACGAUGUGGCGCAGCCCGCUGACCGCCAUUACAUGCACCGGCUAACCGGCGAGCAGUAUCUCCGCAACGGCACGGUGCACUGGUGGACGCUGAGGGAUUCGCAGCGGCACCGGCAGCUGAUGGCAGAAGCCCGGAACACGUCAUAGGGAUUCGCUGCUCAGUGAUGCCGCGGCUUUCGGAAGAAGAGGUGCGGGGUGUCUUGCAAACUCACGUACGUAGCCGCAGGCGUGUAUAGGCGAUGGUGCACGUCAUGUUAAACGGUCGUCGCAGCGAAGGGAGGGGGUGAAAGGGGGACGGCCGGCACGCCGCCAAUCCGUGGCGCUCCUUCUGUGUGCUUCAGGAUCUCCUCGGGAUAGUGCCGCGAGAGGCCAGAGGUCGCUUGCACGCUGCUGGGAUUUGCGCAGACUGGCUAGUGGCCGCCGUCGAGAAAAGGCGACAUUGCCGUCUCCUGAGGGCCCAGGGGCAGAGCCGCGAUGUGUGCGGCCUCGUGAUCCAACGACCCACCCCCUCCUUGCCUGCAUGGCGUCUGGUGUCUAUCCUGUCCUCUGCUUGCACAGCAUGGCAGCUGCAACGCACACGCACGCCCCUCUCGCUCCCUGCACUCUCUCCUCCCCUCUCUUUCUGAGGACGACACGCCGGCUCAACAG